RNAcentral lists this unclassified non-coding RNA (592 nucleotides) under Hevea brasiliensis (rubber tree). Lineage: Eukaryota; Viridiplantae; Streptophyta; Magnoliopsida; Malpighiales; Euphorbiaceae. The record is from RNAcentral.
GGGAAGAUGGUGUCCCUCUCAUCCGUAGUUACUUCCAAGUGGAGUCAUUGCACAACAAAUUCUUAAAUAAUAUAAUCACACAGCUAAGUCAGCUAACUUUCCAUCAAAGUGCGUGAACACUUAAUUGGACUGUUAUGAAGUAAAUAUCAGGGAGAAAUUGCGCACUUCUAGGAUUUCUCCUUGAUAUUUACUUCACAGCAGUGCGCAAUUGCAGUUAAAUUGCAAUUUCACUAGUUGAGAACUUUGCAUGUGUAAUAGAUCUAAAUCCAAAACCAAUAUUUGCCUAUUCAUUUUAUUUGAAGAAAGGAAACCCAGCAGCAACUACUAUGUAGUUCAUACCCAAGAAAUUCCUAGAAUACUGCAAUUGCAAAGUUGCCAUUGUGUCACGGGUCCAGGUUUUAGCCCUCACUUGGAACCGUGCGGCACUUGGCUUGAACUCUUUCAAGACAAGUCAGCCAAGAGAAUCUGUUAUGUCUGCAGCUAGCCUCAGCUGGCAAAUACUUGAUUGGAACUAACUAAUAUAGGCUGUACAUUUCUCCAUGGCCGUUCACUGGCUGCUUGAUUGUUUUAAUUCAGCAAUUUCUUUGACCAC